Long non-coding RNA from Polypterus senegalus (gray bichir), 902 nucleotides. RefSeq lists it as uncharacterized. The record is from RefSeq and is a predicted model, not a curated record. The transcript is spliced from 2 exons. Lineage: Eukaryota; Metazoa; Chordata; Cladistia; Polypteriformes; Polypteridae.
UGAGACCAUGCAACUUUUAGGAUAUUUGCUUUUAAGCGAUGUGUUUUCUGUGUUGCGUUUGUAUCGGUAAACACUGAGAUUAUUGGUUUAUCUUCCACUAAAACGGCACAGCCUGAAAAUUGCCGCGGGCAUUGCCAUUGUCUACGGUAAGAUAUCUGUGCCUAAAUUACUAUGGCGCGUUUUUCAUUGCCCGUGUGCCCAUCACGUGGCGAUGAAACCCAUGCGCCUACACGCGUAUAAUUUAUAGUCUGUAUUAGCAGAAUCUAGAGGAGGUCGCGUAAAUGUGAUUAAGUCCUUUCCUGUAUAGUUAAGUCUUGGUCGACCAGUUGGUGUGAUCUACUGUACGUUUAACUACAAAUCACGGAUAAUGCAACAGCUAUUUAAACGUGGAACAGAAUGCCUGGGAAUUAAAUCGGCCCGAUCUCUAAUCUGCGUCUAACCGACGCCAUCAAGAGACAUUUGUACUCCUACGCAACGCUGGGCGGUGUUUGACGCGCAUGAAAAGCGACGGAUCUAUUUCCCACAUUCUCUAGGCAAGAAAUAAUGGCAACCAAAACCGAACGAAUCUUACUGGAGCUUCAAUUAAUAAACUACGAACAGCAAAUUAUCUGCCUAGAAUUGCAACGACGGAAAAGAUUGCGUUCCCGGAGACGAUGGUAUGAGGACGGGAAGCGUAUAACAAACCGGCUCGUGCUCAUCCCGGACACAACCGGGCAUAAAGGCGGUGUAGAACAUGAUGGAGGCCGUAAUUUGGGGGGGAAUCUCGAUAAACUGUGAGCUGUAGAAUCUUCAACUGGUACUGCUGCCUAGAUAUGUGAUCUAAAUGAGAUGACUUUUUUUUUGUUUAUAGUUUUUAAUAUCUGCUUCUCCCUGUACAAUAAAUAAAACUAAUUUCACUUGAA